This 341-nucleotide long non-coding RNA is filed under the name Equus caballus (horse). RNAcentral's name for it is "lncRNA (ENSECAG00000052633.1)". The record is from RNAcentral. Lineage: Eukaryota; Metazoa; Chordata; Mammalia; Perissodactyla; Equidae.
AGUUGAUUUUGAGAUAGCCAAAAGGGAAACUAUCCUGGGUGCUCCUAACUUAUUUAGGUGGAAGCCCUUUGAAAAGGGACUAAAGCUGUCUACAUGAGAUGCAGAGAGUCCAGAAGACAGAGAGGAAACUGUAGAAUCUUCCUACGUUCUGGAACCCCCACUCACCUCCUUGCUGAUGAUCUCCUGAGUCCCCCUGUUGGUUAGAAAUUUAGAAGAAGCUCAGCGGGGCAAUUGGUCUCUAACUCAUGUGGUGUCAGCUGCAGCAUCAAGGCUGGAAGAUCCCCUUCCACAGUGGCUUCUUCAUUCACACGAGUGUGUGACGGAAGAUAAAGUGGUCAACA